GGAGAGGUGCCGGAGUGGUCGAACGGGGCGGUCUCGAAAACCGUUGUGCGCUUUGCGUACCCAGGGUUCGAAUCCCUGUCUCUCCGCCA
This 89-nucleotide transfer RNA is filed under the name Magnetovibrio sp. RNAcentral describes it as "tRNA-Ser". It matches the Rfam family "tRNA". Rfam says of the family: Transfer RNA (tRNA) molecules are approximately 80 nucleotides in length. Their secondary structure includes four short double-helical elements and three loops (D, anti-codon, and T loops). Further hydrogen bonds mediate the characteristic L-shaped molecular structure. tRNAs have two regions of fundamental functional importance: the anti-codon, which is responsible for specific mRNA codon recognition, and the 3' end, to which the tRNAs corresponding amino acid is attached (by aminoacyl-tRNA synthetases). tRNAs cope with the degeneracy of the genetic code in two manners: having more than one tRNA (with a specific anti-codon) for a particular amino acid; and 'wobble' base-pairing, i.e. permitting non-standard base-pairing at the 3rd anti-codon position. Lineage: Bacteria; Pseudomonadati; Pseudomonadota; Alphaproteobacteria; Rhodospirillales; Magnetovibrionaceae. The record is from RNAcentral.